Molecule: ribosomal RNA, 650 nt
Filed under: uncultured bacterium
Lineage: Bacteria
Description: bacterial SSU rRNA
Rfam family: Bacterial small subunit ribosomal RNA
Source: RNAcentral
GUCGAACGAAGCACAUACGGCGGAACUUUUCGGAGGGAAGAUGUAUGUGACUGAGUGGCGGACGGGUGAGUAACGCGUGGGUAACCUGCCCCAUAGAGGGGGACAACAGUUGGAAACGACUGCUAAUACCGCAUAAGAAAGAAUUGCCGCAUGGCAGUUUUUUGAAAGAUUUAUCGCUAUGGGAUGGACCCGCGUCUGAUUAGCUAGUUGGGAGGGUAACGGCCUACCAAGGCAACGAUCAGUAGCCGGCUUGAGAGAGUGAACGGCCACAUUGGGACUGAGACACGGCCCAGACUCCUACGGGAGGCAGCAGUGGGGAAUAUUGCACAAUGGGGGAAACCCUGAUGCAGCGACGCCGCGUGAGUGAAGAAGUAUUUCGGUAUGUAAAGCUCUAUCAGCAGGGAAGAAACCCACCCUCCGGGGUGGCUGACGGUACCUGACUAAGAAGCCCCGGCUAACUACGUGCCAGCAGCCGCGGUAAUACGUAGGGGGCAAGCGUUAUCCGGAUUUACUGGGUGUAAAAGGGAGCGUAGGUGGCAAGGCAAGUCAGAUGUGAAAACCCGGGGCCCAACCCCGGGAGUGCAUUUGAAACUGUCUGGCUAGAGUGCAGGAGAGGUAAGUGGAAUUCCUAGUGUAGCGGUGAAAUGCAU